This 631-nucleotide ribosomal RNA is filed under the name uncultured bacterium. RNAcentral describes it as "bacterial SSU rRNA". It matches the Rfam family "Bacterial small subunit ribosomal RNA", at positions 54 to 677 of the family's 1533-position model. The record is from RNAcentral.
CAUGCAGUCGAGGGGCAGCAUCAUCAAAGCUUGCUUUGAUGGAUGGCGACCGGCGCACGGGUGAGUAACACGUAUCCAACCUGCCGACAACACUGGGAUAGCCUUUCGAAAGAAAGAUUAAUACCGGAUGGUAUAGUUUUCCCGCAUGGGAUGAUUAUUAAAGAAUUUCGGUUGUCGAUGGGGAUGCGUUCCAUUAGGCAGUUGGCGGGGUAACGGCCCACCAAACCUACGAUGGAUAGGGGUUCUGAGAGGAAGGUCCCCCACAUUGGAACUGAGACACGGUCCAAACUCCUACGGGAGGCAGCAGUGAGGAAUAUUGGUCAAUGGACGAGAGUCUGAACCAGCCAAGUAGCGUGAAGGAUGACUGCCCUAUGGGUUGUAAACUUCUUUUAUACGGGAAUAAAGUGAGCCACGUGUGGCUUUUUGUAUGUACCGUAUGAAUAAGGAUCGGCUAACUCCGUGCCAGCAGCCGCGGUAAUACGGAGGAUCCGAGCGUUAUCCGGAUUUAUUGGGUUUAAAGGGAGCGUAGGCGGGUUGUUAAGUCAGUUGUGAAAGUUUGCGGCUCACCGUAAAAUUGCAGUUGAUACUGGCGACCUUGAGUGCAACAGAGGUAGGCGGAAUUCGUGGUGUA